GUGUAGUGGGCUUUCACUGUUCAUACAUCUAGUAGUAUUAAUAGACAUUCAUUAUAAACUGAAGUGAUCUACUAAAAUAGGGCCUAUCAGAUUACAUAUUCUAGAUUUCCAUCAUUAAGCUUAAAAUGACAAGUGCCUAGGCAAAAAAAAAAUGGAGGCGGGUUUACUGACAUCACAAAAACGAUAUUGGAUCAACAUCUCAUGCUUUAGCUUUCUCCUCAUCCUAAUCUUCAGUAUCGCAUCAUCCAUACUGGUGGCUUCUGCUCUGAUGGUAGAGAAAUUGUUGCCUAGCAACAGGUACUGGCUAGUGGUAGCAGUACAGAUUACCACCUGGUGUAUUUUACUCAAGACUCUACAACUGUUGAUUUUAUCGGGACUGACUGACAUCAUACUAACACCUUGAACUAGAGUUUAGUCUUUAGUUUGGACAGAUUGUACAUAAACACAAGAAGAGAACAAGUGGAUGUGAACAAGAAGAUGUAUUAAGUUUACAAAUUAAAAUACACUGAACUUGUUUUCAAGUCUUCUUAUAAAGACAUGUUGAUUACUGCCCCUAUCCCAUGUACAUUAUGCAGUUUAUAUGAUAUUCAUUUAAAUAUGAAUGUUUGUAAAUAUUGUCAGCAUAUUGAUAACCUCUUUAUAACAUCGAUGUUUUAUUUAUGACUUUUGUAUACUAUAGCCAUGACUGAUGUUCAGUGACUGAGACAUUGAAGAAACAACACAAGAAGCAGAAAGGGGUUUAUAUUAAAAUGGAAAUAAAAAAAAGAUUUUAAAUGAAAGAAGAUAUUGCUAUUAUAACAUGGUGUAAUACCUGAAUUACAUAUUCUGUUGUCAUUUUAAAUAUUAUGCUGGAUACUUUUUCUUCUUCUGUAUCUUGUCGACAUAAGCUAAAGUAUGUUUUACUUGGCUUUAUACUUUCUAGCCUAUGUAUAAUCAAAAAGACAAUUACAUUGGCACAAUGUCAGAAAUUAUUUUAUUCAACUAAACACAAUUAUAUGAAUUUCAAAUGGUUUAUAUUUAGUAAACAGAACAUUCAAAUUAAUAAAACAGCAGGCAACAAAAUAAUGAUUCCUGUUAAAAAAAAAAGGUUAAUAUAAAGCUGGAGUGAUUUCUGAGUAUUUCUACUACCAAACAGAUUGUCACAAAAGUUUCCCAUGAUGAGGACUUGUAUUAGUUGCAUUAUUUAAAUACCAAGACAGUUUGUCCUUUGUUGCCGGCCUUCUUAACAGCCUGAAGUUUCCUCCUCUUUAAAAGUGGUUCAGACUUGUCUGGAGUAUUCUCUUUAAAAUCAGUUCUUGUCUUAGGUGGGUCUACAGAGUAGAAAGUAUGAUCUUGACAGUAUAAUAGGAACAACUCUGGGAUAAUUAACUCCGCUAAAGGAGAUUUAUUUUAAUAUGUACCACACAGGUAUUACCAUCAAUUUGUUUAUGAAUCCAUGCUAUCUAUUAGUUAUUGAAUAAUUAUCCCAUUAGAAUGGUUUUAUCAAUCUUGGAGUGUAAAAGUUGACUAUGGCAAGGUGAAUGAAUGUUGAACUUAUUAUUUCUUUUACUCAAUAUUCUUGAUACAAUAUGAAAACAAAAUGACUAGACUAGACUAGAGUGCUGGUGUGUAUCACUAUAGUUUGCAUAUCUUUUUGUAAGUAGUUUUUUACUUCUCUAAUAGCCAGGGGACCAAAUCUUGUCAUUAGUUUUACAUUAAAUGAACAUUACUAUCUUAAAUACCUUCAUAUAAUGUCAUCAAUCGAGUGUUCCACUGUUUCAAUUUAGAACAAUGACUCUGUAUACAAAAAAUAACAAAAAGUAAAUAAAAGUAAAAUAAGACUAAGAAAAAAAUUUUGUUUUUUUUUUAGCUGUUUAAAAUUGUUAAAAAGAAAAUAGGGGGGAAAAAAAAGUGUCUGGUUGAAAUAUUUGACUAAUGUAAUUAGAACAAAAGUUAAUCUCUUUGCUGAUGAUUGCUUUGUGUUUAACACAAUUUAAAAAAAAAAUCAAUUGGAGCAUCUCUUCUCUCUCAGAAAAUGGCCAAUGAAUGAGGUAGUUCCGAAUCUCUGACCUACUUUAUAAAAAGUCACGUGACUGUGGUCUUAUACAUGGCAAUAUCUUCCUAUGAUAAGAUGUAGAUCUAGAUUUAGUGCUAGCCUAGAUCUAGUAGUCCUACUAAAUAAUCAUAAAAAUUAGUGAAUAAUUGUAACAUACUUUUUAUUACUUAAAGAGGUAUAGAUCUAGACUAUUUUCAUGUUUAAAUUAAAAUGAAAUCAAUGAGGUCAUUAAUGUAAACAACACACCCACGUGACUGAAAAGAGAUCCGGAACUACCUCAUUAUAUUUAGAGUAACAAAAAAAAAAAACUAAUAUAAAUUAAAAUUAUUUAUCUUAUUCAUGGUAAACCAAGUACCCACACUAAAAAUAUUAAAUACUCUUCCUUUCUGAAAAUACAACUGAAUACAUUUAUAAAAUAACAACAUAAUACAGAAACAAGUGAAGACAAAUAAAUGGAAAAUGAAGCAAACAGUUAAAAAGAAAAAGGUAAACAUUACAAAGUGAAGGCUACAAAGAGAGUGAAGAAAAAAAAAGUGUUGCAAGGUAAUUAGAAACAAAAAAUAUAAAAUUAAACAAAAAUCAAUACCUACUUUAUGUUCUAAUAAUAUAGUAAACUAAAAAUUCAUAUUUUAAGUCAACGAAAAAUUAGGAAGAAAAAAAAAUUGCCAGUAUGGGGUUCAAAACCAUGAUGAUUGCAAUAUUAGCAUGAUGCUCUAUCAGCUUAGCUAAUCAAUCAUACUACCAUGUGUGAAAUUUUAGCUUGAAAUAAAUUAUUUAAUUUUUUA
This is a long non-coding RNA of Biomphalaria glabrata, 2820 nucleotides long. RefSeq lists it as uncharacterized. The transcript has 2 exons. Lineage: Eukaryota; Metazoa; Mollusca; Gastropoda; Planorbidae. The record is from RefSeq and is a predicted model, not a curated record.